Molecule: ribosomal RNA, 468 nt
Filed under: uncultured bacterium
Lineage: Bacteria
Description: partial 16S ribosomal RNA
Rfam family: Bacterial small subunit ribosomal RNA
Source: RNAcentral
GACGAACGCUGGCGGCGUGCUUAACACAUGCAAGUCGAACGGAAAGGCCCUGCUUUUGUGGGGUGCUCGAGUGGCGAACGGGUGAGUAACACGUGAGUAACCUGCCCUUGACUUUGGGAUAACUUCAGGAAACUGGGGCUAAUACCGGAUAGGAGCUCCUGCUGCAUGGUGGGGGUUGGAAAGUUUCGGCGGUUGGGGAUGGACUCGCGGCCUAUCAGCUUGUUGGUGGGGUAGUGGCUUACCAAGGCUUUGACGGGUAGCCGGCCUGAGAGGGUGACCGGCCACAUUGGGACUGAGAUACGGCCCAGACUCCUACGGGAGGCAGCAGUGGGGAAUAUUGCACAAUGGGCGGAAGCCUGAUGCAGCAACGCCGCGUGCGGGAUGACGGCAUUCGGGUUGUAAACCGCUUUCGCCUGUGACGAAGCGUGAGUGACGGUAAUGGGUAAAGAAGCACCGGCUAACUACGUG